CAACACUUUUUAAACUUUCGUUGCCGGAGAGAGAAUGACAUAAGAAAGUAAUCAAGACGACUAGCUUGAUUAAGCCUCCGCCAUGUAUAUCUCACUAGGUCAGGGUAUUAAACCUCCUCCAUGUAUAUCUCACUAGGUCAGGGUAUUAAACCUCCAUGUAUAUCUCACUAGGUCAGGGUAUUAAACCUCCUCCAUGUAUAUCUCACUAGGUCAGGAUAUUAAACCUCCAUGUAUAUCUCACUAGGUCAGGGUAUUAAACCUCCAUGUAUAUCUCACUAGGUCAGGGUAUUAAACCUCCUCCAU
Oncorhynchus tshawytscha (Chinook salmon) is the source of this 303-nucleotide long non-coding RNA. The record is from Ensembl. Lineage: Eukaryota; Metazoa; Chordata; Actinopteri; Salmoniformes; Salmonidae.